GCCCGCUCAGAAACUCAAAGGAAUUGACGGGGGCCCGCACAAGCGGUGGAGUAUGUGGUUUAAUUCGAUGCAACGCGAAGAACCUUACCUAGGUUUGACAUCCGGAAGACCUUCCCGAAAAGGAAGGGUGCCCUUCGGGGAAUUCCGAGACAGGUGCUGCAUGGCUGUCGUCAGCUCGUGCCGUGAGGUGUUGGGUUAAGUCCCGCAACGAGCGCAACCCUAUUGCCAGUUGCUACCAGGUAAUGCUGGGCACUCUGGUGAGACUGCCCCGGUUAACGGGGAGGAAGGUGGGGACGACGUCAAGUCAUCAUGGCCCUUACGCCUAGGGCUACACACGUACUACAAUGGCGCAUACAAAGGGCAGCGAUACCGCGAGGUGGAGCCAAUCCCAAAAAGUGCGUCCCAGUCCGGAUUGCAGUCUGCAACUCGACUGCAUGAAGUUGGAAUCGCUAGUAAUUCGAGAUCAGCAUGCUCGGGUGAAUGCGUUCCCGGGCCUU
RNAcentral lists this ribosomal RNA (497 nucleotides) under uncultured Desulfovibrio sp. RNAcentral's name for it is "bacterial SSU rRNA". It matches the Rfam family "Bacterial small subunit ribosomal RNA", at positions 887 to 1382 of the family's 1533-position model. The record is from RNAcentral. Lineage: Bacteria; Pseudomonadati; Thermodesulfobacteriota; Desulfovibrionia; Desulfovibrionales; Desulfovibrionaceae.